RNAcentral lists this transfer RNA (73 nucleotides) under Bacteroidetes bacterium RIFCSPLOWO2_02_FULL_36_8. RNAcentral describes it as "tRNA-Thr". It matches the Rfam family "tRNA". From Rfam's summary of the family: Transfer RNA (tRNA) molecules are approximately 80 nucleotides in length. Their secondary structure includes four short double-helical elements and three loops (D, anti-codon, and T loops). Further hydrogen bonds mediate the characteristic L-shaped molecular structure. tRNAs have two regions of fundamental functional importance: the anti-codon, which is responsible for specific mRNA codon recognition, and the 3' end, to which the tRNAs corresponding amino acid is attached (by aminoacyl-tRNA synthetases). tRNAs cope with the degeneracy of the genetic code in two manners: having more than one tRNA (with a specific anti-codon) for a particular amino acid; and 'wobble' base-pairing, i.e. permitting non-standard base-pairing at the 3rd anti-codon position. The record is from RNAcentral. RNAcentral also lists the same sequence under 1 other name. Lineage: Bacteria; Pseudomonadati; Bacteroidota.
GCCUCUUUAGCUCAGUUGGUAGAGCGACGCUUUCGUAAAGCGUAGGUCGUUGGUUCGAACCCAAUAGGAGGCU